This is a long non-coding RNA of Dermochelys coriacea (leatherback sea turtle), 349 nucleotides long. RefSeq lists it as uncharacterized. The record is from RefSeq and is a predicted model, not a curated record. The transcript is spliced from 2 exons. NCBI's taxonomy places the organism in Eukaryota, Metazoa, Chordata, Testudines, Dermochelyidae.
UCUUCCCUCUACAGGGAAUAAGGCUCCCUUCUAACACUCUCCUGCUGCAUCUCAAUUUCCAGGUCCCAGAACCUGAUGGAUCUUGUGAUGGACUGCACAGGCCAAGUUACAGAACAUUUUCUGGCAGAAGAAAACAAUUUCCACGGAUGUGUGACCCUCUCUCAUUUCGGAAGCAGAACCUCUGCAAAUCCAUUCGCCAAUCUUCCGUUGGUGUAAAUCAACCGUGUUCCACUGAAGUCCCUGGAGCUCUGUCUACUUACAGCAGUGGAGUGUUUGGCAUCUCUUAUGACCUAUUGAAUUUUGAAACCAUCUUCCUCUUUAUCCAAUUAAUUAAAAUAAAGAAAAAACA